CCUGAUCUCAGAGAUCCACCUGUCUCUGUCUGCUGAAUGCUGGGAUUAAAGCCAUCAUGUCUGUGUAAAGAAAGCAAGAGUGCCUAAGGAGGUGACCUGGACUGUGAACAUCCACCCUGACCAGCCUGGAAGCCAACAGUUAAUCAUACAGCAGAAUCCAGAGAAAUUCAACAAGGGCCAUUAGGAGUGAAAGCAUGCAAACUAGAAGCUGAGGAGUGCUAUGUUGUGAAAUACUGUCAACUGGACAUGCUAUGGCUAUGGACACUCACGAACUGUGGAUAUCUACAGCUACAUCAAUACAGUGAUAAAAAUUGCAACAUUGAUAGAGGAGAUGGUGUCAAGGCUCCACCCAUUACUGAGGAGGUUUUGGCAGCUGAUAGCUGAUUUGAAAGGCACGUGGAUGGAACUAGAAGAAACCAUUCUGAGUGAGGUAACCCAGUCGCAAAAAGACAGAAAUGAGCCUUCAUCAGCAGCUGAUGGAAGCAGAAGAAGACACCCACAGCUAAACACUGAGCUGAACUCUGGAAUCCAGUUGCAGAGAGGGAGGAGUGAUGAGC
RNAcentral lists this long non-coding RNA (557 nucleotides) under Cricetulus griseus (Chinese hamster). RNAcentral's name for it is "lncRNA (ENSCGRG00015038920.1)". Lineage: Eukaryota; Metazoa; Chordata; Mammalia; Rodentia; Cricetidae. The record is from RNAcentral.